Mytilus californianus (California mussel) is the source of this 4332-nucleotide long non-coding RNA. RefSeq lists it as uncharacterized. NCBI's taxonomy places the organism in Eukaryota, Metazoa, Mollusca, Bivalvia, Mytilida, Mytilidae. The record is from RefSeq and is a predicted model, not a curated record. The transcript is spliced from 2 exons.
GAACUUGGGUGGAUGACAGUUGACAAUAGAAUAAAAUACCACAAAUAUUUACUUCUAUAUAAAUGUAUGCGUAUGGAAGCACCAAUGUACCUAGUUCAAAAGUUUAAACUGAAAUCAGAUAAUAAUCCUUACUCCCUGAGAGGCGUCACUCAAGGUAAUCUGAUAGUUCCUAAGCCAAAAGCUGAGCUAUUUAAGAAAUCUUUUGUUUAUUCUGGAUCAGUGUUAUGGAAUGGACUACCAAACAAAAUGCGUAAAGCUCAAAACACUUAUACUUUUAAACAAAGUAUCAAGAAGUACUUAACACAGUCCUGAUAAGAUUAUGUUUUCUACAAUGUAUUUGUAUAUUCUUUUAUUUAUAUUUGUAUUUGAUUUUUUGACUACAUGUACAUCUUGAACAGCCUUAUAUCUUAUCAUGUUAGUAAUAUUACAUUGAACUAAUUGACUGUAAAUUAACUAUGUGUAAAUAUCUGUUUUUUGAUUGUAUUGUAAUUUGUAUGUGAGGGCCUCAGGGAAGAUUAGUUUAUUGUAACUAACUGAGUUUACCCUCUUUAAAUAAAGAAUUUAUUAUUAUUAUUAUUAUUAUAGCACAGGAUUGUGCAAAAGAAGAUACUUCCUAUAAAUUGCUUAUUUCUUGACCAAUUUCAAUGGGGUUUUAUUCUUGAUUUCAUGGGGUUCUUUAAUAUGCUGAAUCUAACCGUGUAUUUAGUUUUUGGAUUUUGGGCCCCGUUUUUAAAUUGGUCCACAUUGAGGUCCAAAGGGUCCAAAAUUAAACUUUGUUUGAUUUCAUCAAAAAUUGAAUUAUUGGGGUUCUUUGAUAUGCCGAAUCUAACUGUGUAUUUAGAUUCUUAAAUUUUGGUUCCGUUUUCAAAUUGGUCUACAUUAAGGUCCAAAGGGUCCAAAAUUAAACUUAGUUUGAUUUUAACAAAAAUUGAAUUCUUAGGGUUCUUUGAUAUGCUGAAUCUAAACAUGUAUUUAGAUUUUUGAUUAUGGGCCCAGUUUUCAAGUUGGUCCAAAUCGGGGUCCAAAAUUAAACUUUGUUUGAUUUCAACAAAAAUUGAAUAUAUGGGGUUCUUUGAUAUGCUGAAUCUAACCAUGUAUUUAGAUUUUUGAUUUUUGGGCCCCGUUAUCAACUUUGUCCACAUUGAGGUCAAAAGGGUCCAAAAUUAAACUUUGUUUGAUUUCAUCAAAAAUUGAAUUCUUGGGGUUCUUUGAUAUGCUGAAUCUAACCAUGUAUUUAGAUUUUGGAUAUUGGACCAUAAUAGGUGAAUGUCCAAUUUAAAAUUUUUAAGUUCUUAGACCACAUUCAAUCUGUGUUAGAAACCUAUGCUGUGUCAAAUAUUUAAUCACAAUCCAAAUCCAAAGCUGUAUCAAGCUUGAAUGUUGUGUCCAUACUUCCCCCAACUGUUCAGGGUUCGACCUCUGUGGUCGUAUCAAGCUGCGCCCUGCGGAGCAUUUUAUCUAUUUUAAUACCUUUAUGAUGUAAUUUCCAUUUUUAGAUAUUACUGUUAAAUGAUGCUGAUUAAGGGAAUUUUGCUAUGUUUAGCCAUGACUAUGAUGUCAUUUUCUAUUUUAAUAUCUUUAUGAUGUAUUUAAAUGGGCUUUUAUGGUUACAAAGGAAUUUUAUUUUUAGAUAUUACUUUAAAUGUUGCUGAUUAAGGAUUUUUGUUUAUUUUUAGUCAUGACUAUGAUGUCACUUUCUAUUUUAAUACCUUUAUGAUGUAUUUAAAUGGGCUCCCAUGUAUUUAGAUUUUUAUACGACCGCAAAAAAAUUUUGUGGUCGUAUAUUGGUAUGACGUUGGCGUCGUCGUCGUCGUCGUCCGGCGUCGUCGUCGUCCGGCGUCGUCGUCCGAAUACAUAUUGGUUUUCGCACUCUAACUUUAGUUUAAGUGAAUGGAUCUUUUUGAAAUUUGACCAUAAGGUUAAAUACCACAAAAGGAAGGUUGGGAUUGAUUUUGGGGGUUAUGGUACCAACAGUUAAGGAAUUAGGGGCCAAAAAGGGGCCAAAAAUGAGCAUUUUCUAGUUUCCAGACAAUAAAUGUGGAACGGUGUAUGGAUCUCUCUGAAAUUAUACUACAAGUUUCCAUACCACAAAGGGAUGGUUAGAUUUGCUUUGGGGGGUUAUGGCUCAAGCCGUUUAGGAAUUAGGGGCAAAAAAGGGGGAAAAACAAGGUUGUCCUGGUUAAUGGACAAAUACUUUAGUACAAAACAUAAUUUAAAGCAGUGUAAGGGAGAUAAAUCAAAUACAUCAUUGAAAUUAUCUCCCUUACACUGCUUUUAAAUUAUGUAUAAAGUAAUGGUUAAUGAACAAUAAAGAUAAUCUAAAACAGUGUAAGGGAGGUAAUCCAAAUACAACGUUUUGGUUACUUCCCUUACACUGCUUUUAAAUUAUGUUUAAAGAAAUGCAUAUUUAUAAAGGAAGACCAGUAAAAAUAUCUGCAAAUGUUUUCAUCUUUUUUUUUUACCAAAAAAUCCAUAUGAAAGAUUUGACACUAUAUUUUUAUUAAUUCUAUUAUAAAAUAGAUUAAGUUAGCACUAUGGUAAAUUUAAAUGGGUAAUUAUGGUUGCCAACUCCAUUGGAAAUUAGAAUUGAGAUUAUGACCAUAUCUUGAGGGAAAGAAUUUUUUUUGGGGAAAAAGGGGAGGGGGGGGGGGGAUAAAAAGAAAUUGUGGGGGGCCAAUUUUUUCUCAUUUCAGAUUUCAGAAAUUAAAAAGAAUUAUUCUUCAAAUAUUAUUUUUUUUUCAAAUUUCAAAUAUUGAAAAAUUUCAAGAAGUAAUCUUUAAUUGCACAGUAUGGCGCAUUAGAUUUGUAAAAUCUUUGAUCACAUUUAUUUAUUUGUUAUGCCGAAUCUAACAGUGUAUUUAGAUUUUUAAUUUUGGGUCCAGUUUUCAAAUUGGUCUACAUUAAUGUCCAAAGGGUCCAAAAUUAAACUUUGUUUGAUUUUAGCAAAAAUUGAAUAUAUGAGGUUCUUUGAUAUGCUGAAUCUAAACAUGUAUUUAGAUUUUUGAUUUUUGGCCCAGUUUUCAAGUUGGUCCAAAUUGGGGUCCAAAAUUAAACUUUGUUUGAUUUCAACAAAAAUUGAAUAUAUGGGGUUCUUUGAUAUGCUGAAUCUAACCAUGUAUUUAGAUUUUUUAUUUGUGGACCCCGUUAUCUAAUUGGUUCAUAUUGAGGUCAAAAGGGUCCAAAAUUAAACUUUGUUUGAUUUCAUCUAAAAUUGAAUUAUUGGGGUUCUUUGAUAUUCCAAAUCUAACCGUGUAUUUAGAUUUGGAAUAUCAAAGAACCCCAAUAAUUCAAUUUUUGAUGAAAUCAAACAAAGUUUAAUUUGGACCCUUUUGACCUCAAUAUGAACCAAUUUGAUAGCGGGGCCCACAAAUAAAAAAUCUAAAUUCAUGGUUAGAUUCAGCAUAUCAAAGAACCCCAUAUAUUCAAUUUUUGUUGAAAUCAAAAAAAGUAUAAUUUUGGACCCCAACUUGAACCAACUUGAAAACUGGGCCCAUAAUCAAAAAUCUAAACACAUGUUUAGAUUCAGCAUAUCAAAGAACCCCAAGAAUUCAAUUUUUGUUAAAAUCAAACUAAGUUUAAUUUUGGACCCUUUGGACCUCAAUGAAGACCAAUUUAAAAAAGGGACCCAAAUUAAAAAUCUAAAAACACGGUUAGAUUUGGCAUAUCAAAGAACCCCAAUAAUUCAAUUUUCGAUGAAAUCAAACAAAGUUUAAUUUUGGACCCUUUUGACCUCAAUAUGAACCAAUUUGAUAGCGGGGCCUACAAAUAAAAAAUCUAAAUACAUGGUUAGAUUCAGCAUAUCAAAGAACCUCAUAUAUUCAAUUUUUGUUGAAAUCAAACAAAGUUUAAUUUUGGACCCCAAUUUGGACCAACUUGAAAACUGGGCCCAUAAUCAAAAAUCUAAAUAAAUGUUUAGAUUCAGCAUAUCAAAGAACCCCAUAUAUUCAAUUUUUGUUGAAAUCAAACAAAGUUUAAAUACUGGACCCUAUCUUGGACCAACUUGAAAACUGGGCCCAUAAUCAAAAAUCUAAACACAUGUUUAGAUUCAGCAUAUCAAAGAACCCCAAGAAUUCAAUUUUUGCUAAAAUCAAACUAAGUUUAAUUUUGGACCCUUUGGACCUUAAUGUAGACCAAUUUAAAAAACGGGACUUAAAAUUAAAAAUCUAAAUACACGGUUAGAUUUGGAAUAUCAAAGAACCCCAAUAAUUCAAUUUUUGAUGAAAUCAAACAAAGUUUAAUUUGGACCCUUUUGACCUCAAUAUGAACCAAUUUGAUAGCGGGGCCCACAAAUAAAAAAUCUAAAUUCAUGGUUAGAUUCAGCAUAUCAAAGAA